This 700-nucleotide ribosomal RNA is filed under the name Streptomyces sp. YIM 75711 Cn. RNAcentral's name for it is "bacterial SSU rRNA". It matches the Rfam family "Bacterial small subunit ribosomal RNA", at positions 134 to 845 of the family's 1533-position model. The record is from RNAcentral. Lineage: Bacteria; Bacillati; Actinomycetota; Actinomycetes; Kitasatosporales; Streptomycetaceae.
CACUCUGGGACAAGCCCUGGAAACGGGGUCUAAUACCGGAUACUGAUCUGCCUGGGCAUCCAGGCGGUUCGAAAGCUCCGGCGGUGCAGGAUGAGCCCGCGGCCUAUCAGCUUGUUGGUGAGGUAAUGGCUCACCAAGGCGACGACGGGUAGCCGGCCUGAGAGGGCGACCGGCCACACUGGGACUGAGACACGGCCCAGACUCCUACGGGAGGCAGCAGUGGGGAAUAUUGCACAAUGGGCGAAAGCCUGAUGCAGCGACGCCGCGUGAGGGAUGACGGCCUUCGGGUUGUAAACCUCUUUCAGCAGGGAAGAAGCGAAAGUGACGGUACCUGCAGAAGAAGCGCCGGCUAACUACGUGCCAGCAGCCGCGGUAAUACGUAGGGCGCGAGCGUUGUCCGGAAUUAUUGGGCGUAAAGAGCUCGUAGGCGGCUUGUCACGUCGGUUGUGAAAGCCCGGGGCUUAACCCCGGGUCUGCAGUCGAUACGGGCAGGCUAGAGUUCGGUAGGGGAGAUCGGAAUUCCUGGUGUAGCGGUGAAAUGCGCAGAUAUCAGGAGGAACACCGGUGGCGAAGGCGGAUCUCUGGGCCGAUACUGACGCUGAGGAGCGAAAGCGUGGGGAGCGAACAGGAUUAGAUACCCUGGUAGUCCACGCCGUAAACGGUGGGCACUAGGUGUGGGCGACAUUCCACGUCGUCCGUG